UAAUACAUGCAAGUCGAGCGGACAGAAGGGAGCUUGCUCCCGGAUGUUAGCGGCGGACGGGUGAGUAACACGUGGGUAACCUGCCUGUAAGACUGGGAUAACUCCGGGAAACCGGAGCUAAUACCGGAUAGUUCCUUGAACCGCAUGGUUCAAGGAUGAAAGACGGUUUCGGCUGUCACUUACAGAUGGACCCGCGGCGCAUUAGCUAGUUGGUGAGGUAACGGCUCACCAAGGCGACGAUGCGUAGCCGACCUGAGAGGGUGAUCGGCCACACUGGGACUGAGACACGGCCCAGACUCCUACGGGAGGCAGCAGUAGGGAAUCUUCCGCAAUGGACGAAAGUCUGACGGAGCAACGCCGCGUGAGUGAUGAAGGUUUUCGGAUCGUAAAGCUCUGUUGUUAGGGAAGAACAAGUGCAAGAGUAACUGCUUGCACCUUGACGGUACCUAACCAGAAAGCCACGGCUAACUACGUGCCAGCAGCCGCGGUAAUACGUAGGUGGCAAGCGUUGUCCGGAAUUAUUGGGCGUAAAGGGCUCGCAGGCGGUUUCUUAAGUCUGAUGUGAAAGCCCCCGGCUCAACCGGGGAGGGUCAUUGGAAACUGGGAAACUUGAGUGCAGAAGAGGAGAGUGGAAUUCCACGUGUAGCGGUGAAAUGCGUAGAGAUGUGGAGGAACACCAGUGGCGAAGGCGACUCUCUGGUCUGUAACUGACGCUGAGGAGCGAAAGCGUGGGGAGCGAACAGGAUUAGAUACCCUGGUAGUCCACGCCGUAAACGAUGAGUGCUAAGUGUUAGGGGGUUUCCGCCCCUUAGUGCUGCAGCUAACGCAUUAAGCACUCCGC
This 841-nucleotide ribosomal RNA is filed under the name Bacillus sp. E2S2. RNAcentral describes it as "bacterial SSU rRNA". It matches the Rfam family "Bacterial small subunit ribosomal RNA", at positions 49 to 872 of the family's 1533-position model. Lineage: Bacteria; Bacillati; Bacillota; Bacilli; Caryophanales; Bacillaceae. The record is from RNAcentral.